AUGCCUCUUGUAAAGGAAAUUCUUCAUCCUUCUUCAAAAAAGGAGGAGAGGGAACACAAGAAGUGCCUGGUGCAGAGCUCCAGUUCCUACUUUGUGGUUGUGAAAUGUUCAAGAUACUGUAAAAUCACCAUGAUCUUUAGCCAUGCACCAAUGGUGGUUGUGUGUGUUGGCUGCUGCACUGUCCUCUGCCAGCCUAUAGGCGAAAAAGCAGGACAUACAGAUUUUCCUGCAGGAGGAAGCAGCACUAA
This 248-nucleotide long non-coding RNA is filed under the name Homo sapiens (human). Its description in RNAcentral is "non-protein coding lnc-MEP1B-6:1". The record is from RNAcentral. Lineage: Eukaryota; Metazoa; Chordata; Mammalia; Primates; Hominidae.